This 619-nucleotide ribosomal RNA is filed under the name uncultured bacterium. RNAcentral describes it as "bacterial SSU rRNA". The stretch from base 1 to 521 matches the Rfam family "Bacterial small subunit ribosomal RNA", at positions 338 to 873 of the family's 1533-position model. The record is from RNAcentral.
CCUACGGGAGGCAGCAGUGGGGAAUCUUGCGCAAUGGGCGAAAGCCUGACGCAGCCAUGCCGCGUGAAUGAUGAAGGUCUUAGGAUUGUAAAAAUUCUUUCACCGGGGACGAUAAUGACGGUACCCGGAGAAGAAGCCCCGGCUAACUUCGUGCCAGCAGCCGCGGUAAUACGAAGGGGGCUAGCGUUGCUCGGAAUUACUGGGCGUAAAGGGAGCGUAGGCGGAUAGUUUAGUCAGAGGUGAAAGCCCAGGGCUCAACCUUGGAAUUGCCUUUGAUACUGGCUAUCUUGAGUAUGGGAGAGGUUAGCGGAACUCCGAGUGUAGAGGUGAAAUUCGUAGAUAUUCGGAAGAACACCAGUGGCGAAGGCGGCUAACUGGCCCAUUACUGACGCUGAGGCUCGAAAGCGUGGGGAGCAAACAGGAUUAGAUACCCUGGUAGUCCACGCCGUAAACGAUGAGUGCUAGUUGUCGGUCGAUGCAUGCAUGUCGGUGACGCAGCUACGACAUUAAGACACUCCGCCGUCGGGAGGUACGGUCGGCGAGAAGUUAAACUAACUAAAUAGUUAAGUUAGUACGGCGUUGAGACGUUGCCGACGGACGACGACGAGGGGAGGUUAGG